Molecule: microRNA precursor, 102 nt
Organism: Chlorocebus sabaeus (green monkey)
Lineage: Eukaryota; Metazoa; Chordata; Mammalia; Primates; Cercopithecidae
Source: Ensembl
AUGUAUUAGGUUGGUGCAAAAGUAAUUGCGGUUUUUGCCAUUGACAGCAAUGGCAAAAACCGCAAUUACUUUUGCACCAAUCUAAUACAAUUAUUACUUGUC